CAUGCAAGUCGAACGGAAAGGCCCUUUCGGGGGUACACGAGUGGCGAACGGGUGAGUAACACGUGGGUGAUCUGCCCUGCACUUUGGGAUAAGCCUGGGAAACUGGGUCUAAUACCGGAUAGGACUACGCACUGCAUGGUGUGUGGUGGAAAGCUUUUGCGGUGUGGGAUGGGCCCGCGGCCUAUCAGCUUGUUGGUGGGGUGAUGGCCUACCAAGGCGACGACGGGUAGCCGGCCUGAGAGGGUGUCCGGCCACACUGGGACUGAGAUACGGCCCAGACUCCUACGGGAGGCAGCAGUGGGGAAUAUUGCACAAUGGGCGCAAGCCUGAUGCAGCGACGCCGCGUGAGGGAUGACGGCCUUCGGGUUGUAAACCUCUUUCAGCAUCGACGAAGCGCAAGUGACGGUAGAUGCAGAAGAAGCACCGGCCAACUACGUGCCAGCAGCCGCGGUAAUACGUAGGGUGCGAGCGUUGUCCGGAAUUACUGGGCGUAAAGAGCUCGUAGGUGGUUUGUCGCGUUGUUCGUGAAAACUCACA
RNAcentral lists this ribosomal RNA (537 nucleotides) under uncultured Mycobacterium sp. RNAcentral's name for it is "bacterial SSU rRNA". It matches the Rfam family "Bacterial small subunit ribosomal RNA", at positions 54 to 606 of the family's 1533-position model. The record is from RNAcentral. Lineage: Bacteria; Bacillati; Actinomycetota; Actinomycetes; Mycobacteriales; Mycobacteriaceae.